UCCCCCACACUGGUACUGAGACACGGACCAAGACUCUUACGGGAGGCAGCAGUGAGGAAUAUUGGGCAAUGGACGAAAGUCUGACCCAGCCAUGUCGCGUGAAGGAAGACAGCCCUAUGGGUUGUAAACUUCUUUUCUAUAGGAAUAAACGCUUCGACGUGUCGAGGUUUGAAGGUACUAUAGGAAUAAGCAUCGGCUAACUCCGUGCCAGCAGCCGCGGUAAUACGGAGGAUGCAAGCGUUAUCCGGAUUUAUUGGGUUUAAAGGGUGCGUAGGCGGAUUGAUAAGUCAGUGGUGAAAUCCCGUAGCUUAACUACGGAACUGCCAUUGAUACUGUUAAUCUUGAAUUAAGUCGAGGUAGGCGGAAUUGAUGGUGUACCGGUGAAAAUGCAUAGAUAUCAUCAGGAAGACCGAUUGCGUAGGCAGCUUACUAAACUUAUAUUGACGCUGAGGCACGAAAGCGUGGGGAGCGAACAGGAUUACAUACCCUGGUAGUCCACGCCGUAAACUAUGAUGACUCGCUGUUGGCAAUAUAUCGUCAGUGGCUAAGCGAAAGCGUUAAGUCAUCCACCUGGGGAGUACGUCGGCAACAAUGAAACUCCAAAGAAUUGACGGGGGCCCACAACGGAAGAGAUGUGGUUUAAUUCGAUGAUACGCGAGGAACUUACCCGGGCUUAAAUGCAGAUUGACACUUCGAGAAAUCGAAGUUCCUUCGGGCAAUUUGCAAGGUGCUGCAUGGUUGUCGUCAGCUCGUGCCGUGAGGUGUCGGGUUAAGUCCCAUAACGAGCGCAACCCCUAUUGUUAGUUACCAGCGUGUAAUGGCGGGGACUCUAUCAAGACUGCCGGUGCAAACCGGAGGAAGGUGGGGAUGACUCAAAUCAGCACGGCCCUUACGUCCGGGGCUACACACGUGUUACAAUGGCCGGUACAAAGGGAAGCUACACAGUGAUGUGAUGCAAAACUCGAAAACCGGUCUCAGUUCGGAUUGGAGUCUGCAAUUCGACUCCAUGAAGUUGGGAUUCGCU
Molecule: ribosomal RNA, 1024 nt
Filed under: Stilbonema sp. associated bacterium 2
Lineage: Bacteria; Pseudomonadati; Bacteroidota
Description: bacterial SSU rRNA
Rfam family: Bacterial small subunit ribosomal RNA
Source: RNAcentral